This 1983-nucleotide long non-coding RNA is filed under the name Musa acuminata (dwarf banana). RNAcentral's name for it is "long non-coding RNA (MACU_LNC007061)". The record is from RNAcentral. Lineage: Eukaryota; Viridiplantae; Streptophyta; Magnoliopsida; Zingiberales; Musaceae.
AUCGUUUGCUGCAUAUUUAUAAAUGUAUAAAUAUAAUUUCACAAGCCCUCUUGUAUUUUCCUUUGUGCUGCCUUGUAAUUUGAGUUGUGUGUGGUGUUUGUGUUAUGUACGUUAUGUGUGUGUGUUGUAUGUAUUAUAUUUGUGGGUGUGUCGUGAGUUGUGUGUGUGUUAUGAGUUGUGUGUUUGUGUGUUGUGUAUGAUGUGUGUGUGUGUUGUGUGUUGUUUGUUGUUUGUGUUGUGUGUGUGUGUUGUGUUUGUGUGUGUGUGUGUUGUGACUUGUGUGUGUUGUGUGUUGUGUAUGUUACGUCUGUGUGUUGUGUGUUGUGUGUGUUAUGAAUUCUGUGUGUGGGUGUUGUGUGUUGUUUGUUGUGUAUAGUGUGUGUGUUUUAUGUGUGAGUGUUAUGAGUUUUGUGUGUGUGUGCUGUGUGUUGUGUUUGAGUGUAGUUGUGUUUAUACGUGUUAUGUGUGUGUGGGUAUUGUGUGUUGUUUGUUGUGUAUAUGUGAGUGUGUUAUGUGAGUCUGUUGUGUGUAUAUGUCUAUGUUGUGUGCAUGUGUGAGUUGUUUUUGUGUAUGUGUAUUGUGAGUUGUUUAUAUGUUACGAGUUGUGUGUGUGUUGUGUUAUGAGUGUUGUGUGUGGGUGUUGUGUAUUAUUUGUCGUGUAUGUGUGCGGGUAUUGUGUUUGUGUAUAUGUGCUGUGUUGUGUGUAAGUGUAUGUGUUGGGUAUGUUAUAUGUGUAUUUGUUAUGUGUUGUGUGUGUAUGUGUAUUGUGUAUGUCUUUGUGUGUUGUUUUUGUGUGUAUUAUUUAUUGUGUAUGUUAUGUGUGUGUGUAUAGUAGUGUGUUUGUUAUGAGUUGUGUGUGUUGUGUGUGUGUAUUGUAUGUUAUGUGUGUGUGUGUUGUGUGUGUGUAUUGUAUGUUAUGUGUGUGUUAUAUGUGUAUGUGUAUUGUGUGUAGUGUGUGUUGUUUAUGUUUGUCUUUAGUAUGUAUUGUUAUGAGUUGUGUGUGUGUAGUGUGUAUUGUUAUGAGUUGUAUGUGUGCUGUGAGUUGUGUGUGCUGUGUAUUUUAUAUGUGUUUGUUAUGAGUUGUGUGUAUGUUAUAUGUAUGUUGUUAUGAGUUGUGUGUUUGUGUUGUGUAUGUGUUGUGUGUAGUGUGUAAUAAGUGUGUGUGGUGUAUGUUAUGUGUGUGUGUUUUGAGUUGUGUGUAUGUGUGUGUGUGUUUUGUAUAUUAUAUGUUGUGUGUGUAUGUUAUGUGUGUAUAUGUUAUGAGUUUUGUGUAUAUGUGUCUAUAUUAUGUAUGUUAUGUGUGUGUGUAUGUUUUGUGUUGUGUGAUCUUUGUGUUGAUUGUGUUAUGUUUGUGUAUUGUGUGUGUGUCUUUUUGUGUUGUGCGUUGUUUGUGUUGUUUGUUAUUUUUUGUGUAGUAUUUAUUGUGUAUGUUAAGUGUGUGUGUUGUUAUGAGUUGUGUAAGUGUUGUUUGUAUAUAUUAUGUGUGUGUGUAUUGUGUGUGUUAUGAGUUGUGUGUUGUGUAUGUUAUGUGUGUGUGUUGUUAUGAGUUGUGUGUAUGUUAUGUGUGUGUGUAGUGUGUUGUUUGUGUGUUGUGUGUGUUGUUUGUGUGUGUUAUGAGUUUUGUGUGCAUGUGUGUGUAUUAUGUUAUGAGUUGUGCAUGUAGUGUGUAUUGUUUGUGUGUGUUGUUUGUGUGUGUAUGUUAUGAGUGUGUGUAGUAUGUAUUAUUAUGAGUUGUGUGUAUGCGUGUGUGUAGUGUGUUAUUAUGAGUUGUGUGUAUGUGUGUGUUAUGAGUUGUGUGUGUAUGUAUGUGUGUAUUGUGUAUGUUUUAUGUGUGUGUGUUGUUAUGUGUGUAUGUGUGUUGUGUAUGUUGUGUUUGUGUGUUAUGUAUAGUGUGUGUGUUGAGUUGUGUGUUGGGUAUGUUAUGUGUGUGUAUUGUGUAUUGUUAUGAGUUUUGAGUGUAUGUGUGUGUUGUUUGUGUACUGU